RNAcentral lists this ribosomal RNA (540 nucleotides) under Triticum aestivum (bread wheat). Its description in RNAcentral is "partial small subunit ribosomal RNA". The record is from RNAcentral. Lineage: Eukaryota; Viridiplantae; Streptophyta; Magnoliopsida; Poales; Poaceae.
AUGGAUAGCUUAUUUGUUUUGUUGUAUAUACUUUAUAGUUUCAGUGAUGAGACAUAUAUGUCAACUAUGGGUGUUGGCUCCAACGAUUCUCAUUGGUCCCAAACCAAUGGCGUGAAUUUCGAUGAUCAUGAGUUUGAGGUGGACGAGGAUGGUGAGGGUAUCGUCGAUACACCGAAAGGAAGAGUGGGCAACUACACCAUAGACGAAGAUGUCUUGCUAUGCAAUACAUGGUUGCAAGUGUCCAGGGAUGCCACGGUUGGAGGGGACCAAAGUAGAGAAGCAUAUUGGAUCCGGAUUGAGGAGCACUUUGAUUUGCACAACAAAAGUGGAAUUGACCGCUCGGAAAGAUCUCUUCGCUCCCUGUGGUUGACAAUCAACAGAGAUUGUCAAAGGUGGGCGGCCGCACUUAAGGCAGUUGACACGUUAAACCCAAGUGGCACUAAUGAGAGAGAUAGGGUAAGUGCCAUUUCUUUCAUGAUUCUUCCAUGUUCAUGCUCCUUCUUUGGUGUUUCAAGAGCUAACUUGUUCUUUUGUUUGUAG